This 22-nucleotide small RNA is filed under the name Arabidopsis thaliana (thale cress). Its description in RNAcentral is "ATSL111320". The record is from RNAcentral. Lineage: Eukaryota; Viridiplantae; Streptophyta; Magnoliopsida; Brassicales; Brassicaceae.
AAAAAUAAAACAAACAUAAAAA